GGGCCCGCACAAGCAGUGGAGUAUGUGGUUUAAUUCGACGAUACGCGAAGAAUCUUACCAAGUCUUGACAUCCAGCUAACGAAGUAGAAAUACAUUAGGUGCCCUUCGGGGAAAGCUGAGACAGGUGGUGCAUGGUUGUCGUCAGCUCGUGUCGUGAGAUGUUGGGUUAAGUCCCGCAACGAGCGCAACCCUUGCUGUUAGUUGCUACGAAAGAGCACUCUAGCAGGACUGCCGUUGACAAAACGGAGGAAGGUGGGGACGACGUCAAAUCAUCAUGCCCUUUAUGACUUGGGCUACACACGUACUACAAUGGUCGAAACAGAGGGAAGCCAAGGAGCGAUCUCGGAGCCAACCCCUUAAAAGCGACCUCAGUUCAGAUUGCAGGCUGAAAUUCGCCUGUAUGAAGUUGGAAUUGCUAGUAAUCGCGAAUCAGAAUGUCG
RNAcentral lists this ribosomal RNA (440 nucleotides) under uncultured Bacillota bacterium. Its description in RNAcentral is "bacterial SSU rRNA". It matches the Rfam family "Bacterial small subunit ribosomal RNA", at positions 917 to 1359 of the family's 1533-position model. The record is from RNAcentral. Lineage: Bacteria; Bacillati; Bacillota.